This 82-nucleotide transfer RNA is filed under the name Patescibacteria group bacterium. Its description in RNAcentral is "tRNA-Leu". It matches the Rfam family "tRNA". Rfam says of the family: Transfer RNA (tRNA) molecules are approximately 80 nucleotides in length. Their secondary structure includes four short double-helical elements and three loops (D, anti-codon, and T loops). Further hydrogen bonds mediate the characteristic L-shaped molecular structure. tRNAs have two regions of fundamental functional importance: the anti-codon, which is responsible for specific mRNA codon recognition, and the 3' end, to which the tRNAs corresponding amino acid is attached (by aminoacyl-tRNA synthetases). tRNAs cope with the degeneracy of the genetic code in two manners: having more than one tRNA (with a specific anti-codon) for a particular amino acid; and 'wobble' base-pairing, i.e. permitting non-standard base-pairing at the 3rd anti-codon position. The record is from RNAcentral.
GCCGGGGUGGUGGAAUUGGUAGACACGUACGCUUCAGGUGCGUAUGUCGCAAGAUGUGAGGGUUCGAGUCCCUUCUCCGGUA